UGCUGUUCCCAUGGUAACGGCGGCCAUUUUGAAUAUUCCAACGUCAAACCCCCGCUGCAAUUUUUGCCCUCCAUAAUCAUAUACCAUUUAAUGUCUCUAGAAUAAAUUUAACAUUGAUGUUCUGGAAUGUUCUGUGAAAAUUCAAAGUUUUGACCUUUUUGCAUUGUUUCCAUGGUAACAACAGAUAUUUUGGAAAUUCCAACGCCA
Molecule: long non-coding RNA, 207 nt
Filed under: Mytilus galloprovincialis (Mediterranean mussel)
Lineage: Eukaryota; Metazoa; Mollusca; Bivalvia; Mytilida; Mytilidae
Source: RNAcentral